RNAcentral lists this long non-coding RNA (1303 nucleotides) under Daphnia pulex (common water flea). Its description in RNAcentral is "uncharacterized LOC124188383, transcript variant X1". The record is from RNAcentral. Lineage: Eukaryota; Metazoa; Arthropoda; Branchiopoda; Diplostraca; Daphniidae.
CAGCUCCUAGUUUAAUUGGAAAAACUCUGUCCUCGUGUACACCCAUGUGAAAGUGAGUGGAUAUUCACGAUGAUCCCCCUUUUCCUAUCCUGACUGGCGUCAACUUUACUCAGGAUGGAGCAUUUGUGGAUGCCUGGCUGUGGAUUUCCCGGGCUUAAAGAUAAACAGCAUCUCGUUUGAUAGCAGAAACUACCGUCGAGUUACGCAUCUAUUACUCCCCCUUUCUUUAAAUGUCCUCGUGUACACCCAUGUGAGUGUGGGUGUAUUCACGAGGACCCCCUUUUCCUGUUCUGUCUGGUGGAUUCAACUUUUCUACGGAUUGAGCACUUGUGGAUGCCUGGCCGUAUUUCCCAGGCUUUAAGUUAUAUGGGAGACGACCUGAUCUUGAGUUCCUCCGCCUGCACGAACCGCCAAUCAUCCUGUGAUCUGAUCCUGUCCAGCAGCCACCAAAAACACCACACAAACGCCCCGUGCUGUGCGUGAUGGAAGAAACAAGUGGGCGGAAUGGCUCCGCCGGUCCGAGAAGGGGAGAGACUUGACUCUAACCCUCUCUCUCUCAUCUUUCGACAGCAGCAGGAGAUUUCGGCUCGACUGGCGCUCCGUGGCUCGUCGCCAAGGUGGUGCGCGAGGCUGGGCACCGGAGCAGAAAGAUGGCAGCAAUGGAACAUUUACUCCCCACCCCACCUUAUGGAAUUGCCCGUCUCCUGACGUCCAGUGAAUAUUCCUAGUGCGGUAAUAAGAUUACACGGAAAUCCGUCGCCACAAACACCCCGAAAAUAGCACCACGGGACGACUCCCGCCGAGAAAAGAGUUAUGUCACUGCUGGACCUUGGCAACAACAACAACAUCAGCAGCGACAACAUCACCCGAGAAAGAAGCAAUACGACGAGAACGACGCAUUAAAGAUUGAAUUAGCCGCCGUUAUUUAUUGGGCGACUACCACUUGUUUUCCCGUUUUCGCGGCAACGUUGCUUUUUUCGUCUGCAGUGCGUCAGCUUAUGUGGCCGAUUCCGAUAGGCCGAUAGUUCUGACAGACUGACACUAACAAUCUGACAGCACCUUCCGAGAGAGCAUUUGUUAAGUACACUGAAUUGAUUCAAAAAGGAAAAUGAUUACAGAUAUCCAGUUGGCUAUCUUUUCCAAUGUUUUGGGAGUUUCACUCUUCCUGAUGGUCAUUCUCUACCAUUACAUUUCAGCCAACAACCCUAAAGCUGCAUCUUCAUAAGUGAAUUCCACUGGUAUCAAUAUCUUAUGAUGAUUGUACAAUGAUCCAGUACGGAAAUACAUCCUAUUGACUAUUGUA